GUGCUCGCUUCAGCAGCACAUACACUAAAGUUGGAACGAUACAGAGAUUAGCAUGGACCCUGAGCAGGGAUGGCAUGCAAAUUCCUGAAGCGUUCCAUAUUUUA
Microtus ochrogaster (prairie vole) is the source of this 104-nucleotide small nuclear RNA. The record is from Ensembl. Lineage: Eukaryota; Metazoa; Chordata; Mammalia; Rodentia; Cricetidae.